ACACGACUACAUUAGACUACCCGGUAGUCCAGGGUGUAAACGCUGCGGCUUGUGUUGGGGGUCCUUUGAGGGCGCCCAGUGCCGGAGAGAAGUUUGUUAAGCCUGCUGCUUGGGGAGUACGUCCGCAAGGAUGAAACUUAAAGGAAUUGCGGGGGAGCACCACAAGAGGUGGAGGCUGCGGUUCAAUUGGACUCAACGCCGGAAAACUCAUCGGGAGCGACAGCAGUAUGAUUGCCAGGUUGAUGACCUUGCUUGACAAGCUG
Molecule: ribosomal RNA, 263 nt
Filed under: uncultured archaeon
Lineage: Archaea
Description: partial 16S ribosomal RNA
Rfam family: Archaeal small subunit ribosomal RNA
Source: RNAcentral